This 328-nucleotide unclassified non-coding RNA is filed under the name soil metagenome. Its description in RNAcentral is "partial contains 5.8S ribosomal RNA, internal transcribed spacer 2, and large subunit ribosomal RNA". The stretch from base 1 to 120 matches the Rfam family "5.8S ribosomal RNA", at positions 35 to 154 of the family's 154-position model. The record is from RNAcentral.
GAUGAAGAACUUAGCGAAAUGCGAUAAGUAAUGUGAAUUGCAGAAUUCAGUGAAUCAUCGAAUCUUUGAACGCACAUUGCGCCCCCUGGUAUUCCGGGGGGCAUGCCUGUUCGAGCGUCAUUUCAACCCUCAAGCUCUGCUUGGUAUUGAGUCCAUGUCAGCAAUGGCAGGCUCCAAAAUCAGUGGCGGCGCCGCUGGGUCCUGAACGUAGUAAUAUCUCUCGUUACAGGUGCUCGGCGUGCUUCUGCCAAAACCCCAAUUUUUCUAUGGUUGACCUCGGAUCAGGUAGGGAUACCCGCUGAACUUAAGCAUAUCAAUAAGCGGAGGA